RNAcentral lists this long non-coding RNA (1837 nucleotides) under Carica papaya (papaya). RNAcentral describes it as "long non-coding RNA (CPAP_LNC014309)". Lineage: Eukaryota; Viridiplantae; Streptophyta; Magnoliopsida; Brassicales; Caricaceae. The record is from RNAcentral.
AAAAUACCUAUAAAGCCAAAAACCCCAAAAUCCGCUUUGCUCUUGCUUGCAGCCUCUAGGGUUGCUCGAAAAGCCUCCUCUCUUUCUAGCCGUUCUCUCACUCUCUUUGGCUUCCUCUCUUUUUGCCUCCAAGACUCCUUUGUGGACAUUUGUAGCUGCAAGUGGUGAAGCACACCUCUGAGAUCCUGCAAUAGUGUGUUAUCCUUCUCUCCACUUAUCUUCACCUUCAGCUAGUUGUACCAAGACUUCUCUUCCUUGCAUUGUCUUUUUCUCUAGAGGCUUUUGCAUUCUUCCGUAAUCGAAUAUGAGAAUCUAUGUGUUGCUUCUCUUGUUUAUGGUUUUAGGUCCUACUGUUUUUUGCUUGAUUUUUUUAGCUUUUAAUAAUAAAGUGAGGUGGGUUGAUUUCGGGUCUCUAACUUUGGGCCAUAAUUUAUCUGGGUGGAAUAAUUUUGGGAAGGUUUUUUAUAUUUUAACUAAUCUGUAAAUAUUUUGCACAUGGGCGACAUCGCUUUGGUGUCUAUACUUAAUACACAUCCUUUUUUAUCUUAAAAAAAAUAAUAAAUCGAGGUGGGUUAAAGUCUUAUGUGUAUAUAUAUAGAGCAACGUAUAAAAAAAUAAUUGCAAAAAUAAAAGCGAUUUAUUUUUUUAUUUAUAUGUAUAAGUUAUAUUAAUUAUAUAUAUAAUGGAGUUAAUGAAUUUUGUUUGAAUGAAAAAAAGGGCUAGUUCGAUGCCUGUUGUGUCUACUCCAAUUAAAGAAAUUUAGCUGUUACAAGAUGUUCUUUUCACUAAAAUUGUAAUAGUUCAUGGUACAAAAUCUAAUUUAGUCACAACAAUCCCACCACACAUUAAUGAACUAGAUAUUUCCUGCUUAAUAAAAAAAUAUAGAUCGGUCACUGCUACCUCAUAAUACACCUGCAAAGUGCCGAACUUUACAUGUUCAAUGAGAUUCCAAUUCGUGACCUUCAAGUGGAGUGUCUUAAUCAUUAGAUCAUCGUGCUAAUGGUGCAUGAGGUGUAUUGGUUAGAAAAAGGUAAUGUUUGUGGGGUAGUUGCAGAUGACGAUAAGGGCAUGUGGAUGUGAACUAUGUUAUCGUGUUGCAAAAUUCUUGACAUUUGACAAUUUUAGGCAUUACCUACACUAUUGGUCCAUGAUACACCCGUAAAAUGGCGAAUUGUACAUCUUUUAAUGAAAUUCAAAUAUUGCACACUUUUUAUCUAAAAAAAAAAAUCAUAUUUUACUAUGAAUAGUAUUCUAAUCUAAUUAAUUUUAGUUCUUAGUCUAAUGCUACCCGAGAAUGAUUUGACUCUAUAAAUACAUUUGUAAUUUAUUUACUAUCAUAAUUCAGUUAUUCAAUAAAAUGUUUCGAGAUUUUUUCAGUUUUGUGAUUGUAUAAUACAAUUAAACCCUGCGUAUGAUGAUUAAGACAUUUUAGAUUUGAUAUUGAAGAAACCUUAGCUAUGAUGGUUAGGUUCUUAUCUCCAAAUCCCUAAGUAAACAAAUUAGUCCUGAUUUAUCCUGCAUUACACCAAUAUCAGAUUAUUUCAUAGCUUAGCUAGUCACCGAAUAUUAUGUUCAACUAGCAUAGUUAGGUAGUUAGCAUGGGGGAUGCAAACUAUGGUAUAAAGUUGGAAAUGGACCGCCAGGUUCUUGAGCGUAAUGGUAAUAUUUAAUAGACAAUGCAAGGAUUUUUUGUUAUCACUAAGCAUGUUAUUUUUUCAGAGACUUUUGGGUUUUGCCUCUUUGGAGGUUAGAUAAGGAUUGGAUUAGAGGCAAAUUUGAGUAGCAUGGGAGACAAACUUCUGUCCUAAUGGUUUUUCUUUGGCAUUCUUGUUGUAGA